Molecule: unclassified non-coding RNA, 342 nt
Filed under: soil metagenome
Description: partial contains 5.8S ribosomal RNA, internal transcribed spacer 2, and large subunit ribosomal RNA
Rfam family: 5.8S ribosomal RNA (bases 1-120)
Source: RNAcentral
GAUGAAGAACGUAGCGAAAUGCGAUAAGUAAUGUGAAUUGCAGAAUUCAGUGAAUCAUCGAAUCUUUGAACGCACAUUGCGCCCCCCAGUAUUCUGGCGGGCAUGCCUGUUCGAGCGUCAUUUCAACCAUCAAGCCCCCAGGGGCUUGUGCUGGGGCCCUGCGGCUGCCCGCAGGCCCUGAAAACCAGUGGCGGGCUCGCUAGUCACACCGAGCGCAGUAGCACAUCUCGCUCAGGGCGUGCGGCGGGCUCCUGCCGUGAAACCCCCCACUGUAACCCCAAAGGUUGACCUCGGAUCAGGUAGGAAUACCCGCUGAACUUAAGCAUAUCAAUAAGCGGAGGA